GAUGAACGCUGGCGGCGUGCCUAAUACAUGCAAGUCGAGCGAACGGACGAGAAGCUUGCUUCUCUGAUGUUAGCGGCGGACGGGUGAGUAACACGUGGAUAACCUACCUAUAAGACUGGGAUAACUUCGGGAAACCGGAGCUAAUACCGGAUAAUAUUUUGAACCGCAUGGUUCAAAAGUGAAAGACGGUCUUGCUGUCACUUAUAGAUGGAUCCGCGCUGCAUUAGCUAGUUGGUAAUGUAACGGCUUACCAAGGCAACGAUGCAUAGCCGACCUGAGAGGGUGAUCGGCCACACUGGAACUGAGACACGGACCUGACUACUACGGGAGGGAGCAGUAGGGAAUCUUACGCAAUGGACGAAAGCCUGACGGAGCGGCGCCGCGUGAGUGAUGAAGGGCUUCGGAUCGUAAAACUCUGUUAUUAGGGAAGAACAUAUGUGUAAGUAACUGUGCACAUCUUGACGGUACCUAAUCAGAAAGCCACGGCUAACUACGUG
This 497-nucleotide ribosomal RNA is filed under the name uncultured bacterium. RNAcentral describes it as "partial 16S ribosomal RNA". It matches the Rfam family "Bacterial small subunit ribosomal RNA", at positions 28 to 507 of the family's 1533-position model. The record is from RNAcentral.